GAUGAACGCUGGCGGCAGGCUUAACACAUGCAAGUCGAGCGGCCGUAGCAAUACGGCAGCGGCAGACGGGAUAGUAACACGUGGGAACGCGCCCUUCGGUUCGGAAUAACUCAGGGAAACUUGAGCUAAUACCGGAUACGCCCUUACGGGGAAAGAUUUAUUGCCGAAGGAACGGCCCGCGUCCGAUUAGCUAGUUGGUGAGGUAAUGGCUCACCAAGGCAACGAUCGGUAGCUGGUCNGAGAGGAUGACCAGCAUCACUGGGACUGAGACACGGCCCAGACUCCUACGGGAGGCAGCAGUGGGGAAUUUUGCGCAAUGGGGGAAACCCUGACGCAGCAAUGCCGCGUGGAGGAUGAAGUCCUUUGGGAUGUAAACUCCUUUCGAUC
Molecule: ribosomal RNA, 387 nt
Filed under: uncultured bacterium
Lineage: Bacteria
Description: bacterial SSU rRNA
Rfam family: Bacterial small subunit ribosomal RNA
Source: RNAcentral